Molecule: ribosomal RNA, 543 nt
Filed under: Diaporthe kongii
Lineage: Eukaryota; Fungi; Ascomycota; Sordariomycetes; Diaporthales; Diaporthaceae
Description: eukaryotic LSU rRNA
Rfam family: 5.8S ribosomal RNA (bases 190-343)
Source: RNAcentral
AGCGGAGGGAUCAUUGCUGGAACGCGCUUCGGCGCACCCAGAAACCCUUUGUGAACUUAUACCUAUUGUUGCCUCGGCGUAGGCCGGCUUUUUCUAAAAGCCCCCUGGAAACAGGGAGAAGCCCGCCGGCGGCCAACCAAACUCUUGUUUCUACAGUGAAUCUCUGAGUAAAAAACAUAAAUGAAUCAAAACUUUCAACAACGGAUCUCUUGGUUCUGGCAUCGAUGAAGAACGCAGCGAAAUGCGAUAAGUAAUGUGAAUUGCAGAAUUCAGUGAAUCAUCGAAUCUUUGAACGCACAUUGCGCCCUCUGGUAUUCCGGAGGGCAUGCCUGUUCGAGCGUCAUUUCAACCCUCAAGCCUGGCUUGGUGAUGGGGCACUGCCUGUAAAAGGGCAGGCCCUGAAAUCUAGUGGCGAGCUCGCCAGGACCCCGAGCGUAGUAGUUAUAUCUCGCUCUGGAAGGCCCUGGCGGUGCCCUGCCGUUAAACCCCCAACUUCUGAAAAUUUGACCUCGGAUCAGGUAGGAAUACCCGCUGAACUUAAGC